GGUGGUUUUGGGUAAAGCACCCUAGAAUUGGGCUCCCUCCUCUCUGGUUCUAGGUGCAUCACCUGAGAACCACA
Non-coding RNA from Myotis davidii, 74 nucleotides. NCBI's taxonomy places the organism in Eukaryota, Metazoa, Chordata, Mammalia, Chiroptera, Vespertilionidae. The record is from Rfam.